RNAcentral lists this long non-coding RNA (423 nucleotides) under Manihot esculenta (cassava). RNAcentral's name for it is "long non-coding RNA (MESC_LNC010021)". Lineage: Eukaryota; Viridiplantae; Streptophyta; Magnoliopsida; Malpighiales; Euphorbiaceae. The record is from RNAcentral.
GCCCCAGGAUAGAAGCUCCAAUGGUCAGAGCCAUAGCAGUUUUGGGCAUCACAACAGACUUCCUAAGCAUAGCUAUGAAGGGCACGGCUGCAUGCACUGCUGCAAACCAUGAUAGUGAAAACUUCUUAAUAUGUUCCAAACACGGCAAUUGCAUAUGCCAAAAGCAUAAUCAAUGGAAUGCCAAGACCCCAGAGUUAAUACCUGCCACGACUUCGAGACCGUGAUCUAUGCCUUGGUCGAGGCAAGGAUCUAGAUCUGGACCUUGAUCUGGGCCUCGAGUGGGAUCUUGAUCUAGACCUUGACAAACAUGGCAACAUAUUUUUUAACCUCCAGAAAUUGGUACUCACAAGGAGAGACAGGGAGAGAGGUUGUCCCAAUAUCCACUUCUCAUGAUUAGCUUGGCUUUGACAUUUUGGUAAUUUC